Molecule: signal recognition particle RNA, 266 nt
Filed under: human gut metagenome
Description: Bacterial large signal recognition particle RNA
Rfam family: Bacterial large signal recognition particle RNA
About the family: The signal recognition particle (SRP) is a universally conserved ribonucleoprotein involved in the co-translational targeting of proteins to membranes. Archaeal SRP consists of a 7S RNA and homologues of the eukaryotic SRP19 and SRP54 proteins.
Source: RNAcentral
CCGCGCUAGGCGGGGAGUCAGCGGUGCCCUGUACCUGCAAUCCGCUACAGCAGGGCUGAAUUCCCGUCCCGAGGCUGGCCCUUGUGGGGUCUGGAACCGGUAAGGAGCGUUGAGUUUUGGGUCCCGUGCAAUCGGCGUCUGUGAACCAUGUCAGGUCCUGACGGAAGCAGCAUUAAGCGGAAAAGCCGAUGUGCCGCGGGGAAGCCUGAAAGGAGCCGCCUGCCGGGAUACCGCCCGGAAGGGUUUUGUCAAGGGAUGGGUGCGCG